GAGAGAGAGAGAGCAGGCAGAUAAUGAGAGGAGACAAGUAGAAGGAGAAUUAAAGAAAUAUGAUUAAAAAAGAGCAAGGAAGGGAGGAAAGAAAGAGAGGAGGAAGAGAUAGGGAGAGAAGAAUGAGGCGAAGAAGAGGGGAAGAAGAAAGAGAGUGAGGGAAGAAGGGAAGGAAGGAAAAAGUAUGGAGGGAGAAACACGGGUAUAAAUCGAAGAGAGAGAGAGAGAGAGAGAGAGAGAGAGAAUAACUAGUGUGUGUGUGUGUGUGUGUGUGUGUGUGUGUGUGUGUGUGCUUCUCCUAACCUCAUCUCUAUAAAACGUUUCACAAAAUUCAAGUUUCCUAAGACAGUGAGACGCUCCUGCUUCUAACGCCUUGAGCGGGCCGGGCAAUUUUCAACCUGAUGCCGAGGUGACACACGGGCGAAAUUAGACUAACGUAGCUGGCUGUGGUGGUGGUGGCGGUGGUGGUGGUGGUGUUUGCUUUAUAGUGAAGAAACGAGAAUGCAACGACAACAACAACAACGACUGCAACAACAACAACUAUUACUAAAACCACAAAACCCCAAACAACCACAAUUUUUAACUACCAUUUUCUCCAUAACAAUAAAAUCAACAACAAUUAUACAACAUGGAGAGACUUGGAUACCUACAACAACUACAACAACAACAACAACUACUACAACACAAGCUGGCGUUGUUCAGGUGGCUGGAGUCGGAGGAGACGAAGAUUCAUAACGCGCACGCACUGGUCGACAACUUCCGCCCUGUGCAGCCCCUGAACGCGCGGGAGGUUCGAGGCCGCGACAAGCUGGUGCCCCGGACGAUAGUAGCCUGUUCCCCUUUCUGAGACUCCCCGCGUACCCCCCUCCACCCACCCACCCACACACACACACACACACACUCACACACAUAUACACUCCCCCUCCACAAUAUAUAAGUCUUCCCUCCAACGCACAUUCUCAUACUAAUACAUACAGAGUCAUAUUUGUAUCCCCCUCCCACUCUCUUACAUAUAUGUCAACACAAACACAUGCAUACACACACGUACUCACACACAUAUAUAACCCUCUCCACACACACACACACACACACUCACACUGAUACAUAUCCACACAAACAAACACAUACCCAUACGCACAUACCUACACACACAUACCCACACAGUCACAAAUACACAUACCCACACACUUAUACAUAUGCACUAAUCCAUAUACAUAUACCAAUCCAUAUACUACAGAAGAACUAACAUACCCAGCAAUCCACAUACUUAUCCACAUAUUAGCAUGCCCAUAUACGCACUCAUAUCCACAAACCCACACACAUACACACACACACACAUAUAAACCCACACACAUAUCCAUUGGUCCACUAAUAUACCCAUACACAUAGGCCUACACAUUCACUAAUCCACAUACAUACUUAGGCUACAUAUUCACAUCCCCCCCCCCCCCCAACAUAUCCACUGUUCCACAAAUACACAUACACACACAUACACAGAUAUCCAUUUACCUAAACACAUACCCAACCUCCAUACCAAAAUACAUGUCUUAUACCCUGUUCACGUUAACCUCGCAAUUUAGCCCCGCCCCCUUCACCAUAGGCUAGUCUACCACCAAGCCACGCCCCUUUCCUGUUAUGUGUUUAUCAUUGGCUAGUUAAUCACCAAGCCACGCCCCCUUCACCAUUACUGCUUAUCAUUGGCUAGCCUACCAUCAAGCCACGCCCCUACUUCAACCAAGGCUGCAUUCAUUGGCUAAAGGGAAGCUAAGGGUAUUAUAAGCUACUCAGAACCCUUUCAGCAUAUUCUUACAUUCGAUCGGUAAUUCCUCAGCCCCCAUUAGAUUUAAGAAACCCUCCAUUAUAUUUUUAUACAUCAAUGGAAAUAUCUUAAGGGGAGUAUCAAGAUACCUUUCUACCCAAAUUUGACCUUUCUUUUAGCCACUCUUUUCUACUGUCAUUUAUAGGAGAAGGCCUUGGCGGGCUUUUUCGUUUUCAUAUGUUGUUUGCCCUGGAGCUGCUGCCUUUACUGCAAUAAUGAAAGAUAAUAAAACAGAAAAGGAAACCCGCUAAGCGCUGUUCUAGCAAAGAAGUCUAUGGCAAAGACUAUAGGAUGAGUGUCAAAAAGGAAGGUUAGUUUUAAAUGGAGAAGUUUCUUGAUUCUCGCGUCUUGAAACACCCUUCAGUUAGUCUUAGGGUUGCCACAGGUUGCCUUCACAUCUUCCUCUAUUCAGGGUACCAUGGAAAAUAGGCUCCUCCCACUUAUUCUCCUUUAAGUGUUCAUUGGCUGGUUCUCAAGCUAGCCACGCCCCCUUACUAUUAUUAUUAUUAUUAUUAUUAUUAUUAUUAUUAUUAUUAUUAUUAUUAUUAUUAUUAUUAUUAUUAUUAUUAGCAGCACAAGAUUAUAUUAUUUUCUCUACUUUAGUUAUAUUAUGUAUUAGUUCACAAGUCAGGUUAUGUGUGUUUACUUAUUUCAUUUCUCUCUUUGUGGUUCUCUCGUUUUCUUUUUUGUUUCUUUCUUUUCCUCUCGUUUUCUUUCACUUAUUUGGUUUCUUUACUGCUCGUAUUUUUCACUUCUCUCUAUUUUUUCUCUAUAUUUUGUCAUUUUUCUAUUGUUUUCUAUUUUCAUUUUCUUUCACUUGUCUUUAAUUCAUUCCGCGCUGACUUUUAUUCAAUUUACUUUCUUGUCUUUUCCACUUUUCUCCGGUUUCUUUCUUUUCAUAUCCUAUCGUCGUAAUUCCUUUCUCUGUCUCACAUUCCUUUCCUUUCCUUCCUUAUAAGAUAUAUAUUUCAUCCCGUCCGUCUACUCUCAUUCUUUCUCCUCUUCAUUUUUUCUCUUCUCAUCAAGUUUUUGUUUUCCUCCUCAUGUUCCUUCUCCUCCUCCUUUCUGCUUCUUUUUCUUCUAAUUCCUUUGUUUUCCUUGUUCUCCUCCUACUUUUCCUCCUCCUCCUCCUCCUCCUCCUCCUCCUCCUCCUCCUCCUCUUUCUCCUCCUCCUCCCUACAAUCCGUGCAAUAUACCUUAAUUUAUUUGUAAGCUUAGAUAGAAUUAGAACAUAAAUUAUUCAGCAAAUGGAGUGUGUUUUUCAAUGACCUCUGUAAAUUAAACUAGAUAUUAUCGCGUGCGUGUAAACCAUUUAAAUAAUAUAUAAAAAUAAUAAUAAUAAAUCCUUCUGAGCUCUGACCAAAAAAAUGUAUUGAAAUUCUAAAAAUGUAAUUUCUUCCAUAUUUAUUUCUGUCUCUGAAUAAAGUUUUCUUCCUGUUUGUGUGUGUGUGUGUGUGUGUGUGUGUGUGUGUGUGUGUGUGUGUGUGUGUGUGUGUGUUUGGCAGUGAAUCUUAAAACGUUUUGCUCGUGUUUUAAAUUUGCUUGGUUUAAUUUCUUAGAGGAUUCAUAUUUGUCUGGUUUCUCCUCCUUCUGUGUGUGUGUGUGUGUGUGUGUGUGUGUGUGUGUGUGUGUGUGUGUGUGUGUGUGUGUUGAUUUACAUAGAUUUACAUAGAAAAUCAGACCACUCAGACCCCAUGGUCCAGACUAGGUGGUCUGUCCUUAAACCUAAGUGAUUUUACAUUAAUCAGAUGGCUCCAAAACGUUGCUUUUCUACUCUAGUUAAUAUAAGUUCAAGGAAGUGACGGUCGAGCUUGUUUUUAAAGGAGUCAAUCGUGUUACACUGGACCACUGACGGUGGGAGCUUAUUCCAUUCUCGCACUGCAACGUUGGUGAAGAAGAAUUUGGUGCAGUCUGAAUUUACUUGUCUACAUUUAAGUUGUGUGCCAUUGUUCCUCGUUCGCAGUGUCAUCGAUCAUAAAUAAUUUUGUUCUUUUUAUUUUUUAUUUUUUAUUUUUCAACUAACAGACAGACAGACAGAUACACAGAGAUACAGUAGCAGAGAGUAAACGUAUAAACAAAUCAAAGACAGACAGACAGACAGACAGAAAGAAAGAAUUAAAGAACAAAAAAAAAAAAAAGAAGAA
This is a long non-coding RNA of Eriocheir sinensis (Chinese mitten crab), 3963 nucleotides long. RefSeq lists it as uncharacterized. The transcript is spliced from 2 exons. NCBI's taxonomy places the organism in Eukaryota, Metazoa, Arthropoda, Malacostraca, Decapoda, Varunidae. The record is from RefSeq and is a predicted model, not a curated record.